This 161-nucleotide ribosomal RNA is filed under the name uncultured Psychromonas sp. RNAcentral describes it as "partial 16S ribosomal RNA". It matches the Rfam family "Bacterial small subunit ribosomal RNA", at positions 365 to 525 of the family's 1533-position model. The record is from RNAcentral. Lineage: Bacteria; Pseudomonadati; Pseudomonadota; Gammaproteobacteria; Alteromonadales; Psychromonadaceae.
AGUGGCCUGGACGCAGUCUGAUGCAGCAUGCGCGUGAGCGAGCGUCUUCGGGUCUGUAAAGCUCUUUUGUCAGGGAGGAAAGUGUGCUGGUUACUGCCCGCCCCUUGACGGUACCCGCCUAAAAAGCCCCGGCUAACUCCGUGCCAGCAGCCGCGGUAAUA